UACGGAGGGUGCAAACGUUGCUCGGAAUCAUUGGGCGUAAAGCGCACGUAGGCGGCUCGUUAAGUCGGAUGUGGAAGCCCCGGGCUCAACUCGGGAAGUGCAUUCGAAACUGGCGAGCUUGAAUAUGGAAGAGGGUCGCGGAAUUCCCGGUGUAGAGGUGAAAUUCGUAGAUAUUCGCAAGAACACCAGUGGCGAAGGCGGCUCACUGGCCCGGUACUGACGCUGAGGUGCGAAAGCGUGGGGAGCAAACAGG
This 253-nucleotide ribosomal RNA is filed under the name uncultured bacterium. RNAcentral describes it as "partial 16S ribosomal RNA". It matches the Rfam family "Bacterial small subunit ribosomal RNA", at positions 524 to 776 of the family's 1533-position model. The record is from RNAcentral.